Molecule: ribosomal RNA, 315 nt
Filed under: uncultured eukaryote
Lineage: Eukaryota
Description: partial 18S ribosomal RNA
Rfam family: Eukaryotic small subunit ribosomal RNA
Source: RNAcentral
CCCUUAGAUGUCCUGGGCCGCACGCGCGCUACACUGACACGCCCAUCAAGCAUACAACCUUGGCCGGGAGGCCUGGGUAAUCUUUGAAAACGUGUCGUGAUGGGGAUUGACGGUUGCAAUUUUCCGUCAUAAACGAGGAAUUCCUAGUAAACGCAAGUCAUCAACUUGCAUUGAUUACGUCCCUGCCCUUUGUACACACCGCCCGUCGCACCUACCGAUUGAAUGGUCCGGUGAAGCCUCCGGAUUGGCGCGCACCUCGGUGCCGCCGAGAAGUUGGCUAAACCUUACCAUUUAGAGGAAGGUGAAGUCGUAACA